GGCCGAGAGAGAGAAGGGAGAGGGUUUUCCCUUUUUCUUUUCUUUUGUUUUCUUUUUGUUUCUUUUUAUUCCAAAGCUAUUUUCACAUCAUUUCAAAACAUUUUGAAUCAUUUUAAAAUUUUGAGUUCAAAUACACUCAUCACAAUAAAUAAAAUGCAAAGGCAUGCAUGCUCAAGCAUAUUUUCUACGUCCUAUGAUGAAUUUUAAUUUAAUGAAAAAUAUUAUCUCGCUAUAUUUCAUGAACAUAAAAAUACAAAAUUAAAUCAUUUUCACUUAUUUCAAAAAGAAAUAAAUUUUAGGGUGUUACAGUUCACUUGCUCAUGAACAAACUCAUAUAGAUACCACU
This 346-nucleotide long non-coding RNA is filed under the name Sorghum bicolor (sorghum). RNAcentral's name for it is "long non-coding RNA (SBIC_LNC002437)". The record is from RNAcentral. Lineage: Eukaryota; Viridiplantae; Streptophyta; Magnoliopsida; Poales; Poaceae.